Molecule: ribosomal RNA, 253 nt
Filed under: uncultured bacterium
Lineage: Bacteria
Description: partial 16S ribosomal RNA
Rfam family: Bacterial small subunit ribosomal RNA
Source: RNAcentral
UACGAAGGGGGCUAGCGUUGUUCGGAAUUACUGGGCGUAAAGGGCGCGUAGGCGGUGUGUCAAGUCAGGCGUGAAAGCCCCGGGCUCAACCUGGGAACCGCGCUUGAGACUGGCACGCUCGAGUUCGGGAGAGGAUGGUGGAAUUCCCAGUGUAGAGGUGAAAUUCGUAGAUAUUGGGAAGAACACCGAUGGCGAAGGCAGCCAUCUGGACCGACACUGACGCUGAGGCGCGAAAGCGUGGGGAGCAAGCAGG